GGGCAAUUGGUCUAGGGGUAUGAUUUUCGCUUCGCAUUCCGCAAAAAGAUGCGCCUUGUGAAAGGUCACCGGUUCGAAUCCGGUAUUGUCCA
Cladorrhinum samala is the source of this 92-nucleotide non-coding RNA. NCBI's taxonomy places the organism in Eukaryota, Fungi, Ascomycota, Sordariomycetes, Sordariales, Podosporaceae. The record is from the annotation of a GenBank genome assembly.